UCGGCAGCAUCAUAAUGUUCCUCCCACUAUGGAUUGUAGGACUGGGAUUGCUGACUACCUUCGGCAAUAACCAAAGCAAUAACUUGGAUGCAGAAACUAAAUCAUUACAAACAUCCAUUAAAUACAAUACAACAGAGAGCUCAUCCUCACCAAGCUUCCAUCGAAUGGAGCUUCUAUCAUCAGCUGAAACAAAAGGCCUAUUGAACUGGUUGGCCUUGGCAACAUUCCUU
RNAcentral lists this unclassified non-coding RNA (230 nucleotides) under Hevea brasiliensis (rubber tree). Lineage: Eukaryota; Viridiplantae; Streptophyta; Magnoliopsida; Malpighiales; Euphorbiaceae. The record is from RNAcentral.